GGGACGAACGCUGGCGGCGUGCUUAACACAUGCAAGUCGAGCGGUAAGGCCUUUCGGGGUACACGAGCGGCGAACGGGUGAGUAACACGUGGGUGAUCUGCCCUGCACUUCGGGAUAAGCCUGGGAAACUGGGUCUAAUACCGGAUAUGACCUCCUAUCGCAUGGUGGGUGGUGGAAAGAUUUAUCGGUGCAGGAUGGGCCCGCGGCCUAUCAGCUUGUUGGUGGGGUAAUGGCCUACCAAGGCGACGACGGGUAGCCGACCUGAGAGGGUGACGGCCACACUGGGACUGAGACACGGCCCAGACUCCUACGGGAGGCAGCAGUGGGGAAUAUUGCACAAUGGGCGAAAGCCUGAUGCAGCGACGCCGCGUGAGGAUGACGGCCUUCGGGUGUAAACCGUCUUUCAGCAGGACGAAGCGCAAGUGACGGUACCUGCAGAAGAAGCACCGGACUAACUACGUGCCAGCAGCCGC
This 473-nucleotide ribosomal RNA is filed under the name uncultured soil bacterium. Its description in RNAcentral is "bacterial SSU rRNA". It matches the Rfam family "Bacterial small subunit ribosomal RNA", at positions 27 to 518 of the family's 1533-position model. The record is from RNAcentral.